Molecule: ribosomal RNA, 203 nt
Filed under: uncultured Staphylococcus sp.
Lineage: Bacteria; Bacillati; Bacillota; Bacilli; Caryophanales; Staphylococcaceae
Description: partial 16S ribosomal RNA
Rfam family: Bacterial small subunit ribosomal RNA
Source: RNAcentral
CUGUGGAUAACUUCGGGAAACCGGAGCUAAUACCGGAUAAUAUUUUGAACCGCAUGGUUCAAAAGUGAAAGACGGUCUUGCUGUCACUUAUAGAUGGAUCCGCGCUGCAUUAGCUAGUUGGUAAGGUAACGGCUUACCAAGGCAACGAUGCAUAGCCGACCUGAGAGGGUGAUCGGCCACACUGGAACUGAGACACGGUCCAG